GUAUAUGAGGUGAUUAAUUGGAGGGCAAAUCAAGUGCCAGCAGCCGCGGUAAUACUUGUUCCAAGAGUGUGUAUGAUGAUUGAUGCAGUUAAAAAGUCCGUAGUUUAUUUUUUAAGAAGCAAUAUGAGGUGUACUGUAUAGUUGGGAGAAAGAUGAAAUGUGACGACCCUGACUGGACGAACAGAAGCGAAAGCUGUACACUUGUAUGUAUUUUUUGAACAAGGACGUAAGCUGGAGGAGCGAAGAUGAUUAGAUACCAUUGUAGUUCCAGCGGUAAACUAUGCCGACGAUGUGAUAUGAAAAUGUUAAUUUGUAUUACAUAAUAGAAAUUUGAGUUUUUUGGCUCUGGGGAUAGUAUGAUCGCAAGAUUGAAAAUUAAAGAAAUUGACGGAAGAAUACCACAAGGAGUGGAUUGUGCGGCUUAAUUUGACUCAACGCGAGGUAACUUACCAAUAUUUUAUUAUUUUGGGAGAACGAUUUUUUGUUUGAGAAUGAUAAUAGUGGUGCAUGGCCGUUUUCAAUGGAUGCUGUGAAGUUUUGAUUAAUUUCAACAAGACGUGAGACCCUUAUUUUUUAUUAAAGACAGACACAAUCAGUGUAGGAAGGAAAGGAUUAAAACAGGUCCGUUAUGCCCUCUGACAUUUUGGGCUGCACGCGCAAUACAAUAGAUAUA
Molecule: ribosomal RNA, 673 nt
Filed under: Vairimorpha ceranae
Lineage: Eukaryota; Fungi; Microsporidia; Nosematidae
Description: SSU rRNA
Rfam family: Microsporidia small subunit ribosomal RNA
Source: RNAcentral